GGCCUGAUGGUCUAGCGGUAUGAUUCUUGCUUCGGGAGUGACAUCUCAGUCUUAUAUAUAAAGAGACUAUAGUUUGCGAGAGGUCCCGGGUUCAAUCCCCGGUCAGGCCC
Fusarium culmorum is the source of this 110-nucleotide non-coding RNA. NCBI's taxonomy places the organism in Eukaryota, Fungi, Ascomycota, Sordariomycetes, Hypocreales, Nectriaceae. The record is from the annotation of a GenBank genome assembly.